AUAACAGCCGAAUGCCCGUAUCGGGCAGCGGGAGAACCAAUUUAUGGGGUGCAGCCUUUUCAGGCGGGGUAUCUUCUUGCCCUAACCCGUCAGCUUAUCUCGCAGGCGUAAGAAGA
This 116-nucleotide small RNA is filed under the name bovine gut metagenome. RNAcentral describes it as "ydaO/yuaA leader". It matches the Rfam family "c-di-AMP riboswitch aptamer (ydaO/yuaA leader)". Rfam says of the family: This family represents a conserved RNA structure found upstream of the ydaO and yuaA genes in Bacillus subtilis and related genes in other bacteria. The ydaO/yuaA element is thought to act as a genetic "off" switch for the ydaO and yuaA genes in its native state. It is believed that the element may be triggered during osmotic shock leading to activation of ydaO, a predicted amino acid transporter gene, and members of the yuaA-yubG operon which code for KtrA and KtrB K+ transporters. The record is from RNAcentral.